UACGUAGGGUGCAAGCGUUGUCCGGAAUUAUUGGGCGUAAAGAGCUCGUAGGCGGCUUGUCGCGUCGGCUGUGAAAACCUGGGCGCUCAACCCCGGGCCUGCAGCCGAUACGGGCAAGCUAGAAUUCGGUAGGGGAGACUGGAAUUCCUGGGUGUAGCGGUGAAAUGCGCAGAUAUCAGGAGGAACACCGGUGGCGAAGGCGGGUCUCUG
Molecule: ribosomal RNA, 210 nt
Filed under: uncultured bacterium
Lineage: Bacteria
Description: partial 16S ribosomal RNA
Rfam family: Bacterial small subunit ribosomal RNA
Source: RNAcentral